GGGUGGGGGGUAGCUUUAUUAUGUUAAUUGAGACCCACCCACUGUGGGUGACACCAUUCCCUAGCUGGCUCUUGGGCUGUCAUAAUGAAGAAAAGAUGCUGGACAGGAGCAAACAUUCCUUUCUCUGCUUCCUGAGAUGCAGUGUGAUUAGCUGCCUCAGACGGCUGCCUCGACUUCCCUGCCAAGGACAUGAGACUGAGCAAAAUUUAAGAGAACUUGUAGUGAAAGCCAUGCCGUGUGGUUCUGCUCACCCCUGGAGACUGAGUGGCAGAAGGUAUCCAGACUCCCUCGGGUCCCCUCAAACUGUGCAACACAGGAAACAGAGUCACAGACUGGAUUCUGCACCAGAGAAUCCUUUUGUCACACUCUGUACAUCAUCACAGGCUGCCAGACAUGUCAGGACUCAGGGGCUUUGCAGAGCUGAGAGUUCCUGUCACUUAGAGAGGAGGAGACUGUCUGUGAGUGGCUGGCGGCUCUCUGGCACACAGCUAGUUAACACCAGCGCUGACCUUCCACAGAGAAGCUCUCCAGCAGGUUAAGGAACCAUGCUGUCUCGGAGUUAAUUCUCCAUCAAGGACUUUGCUGCCCUAUGUCACCACCAUCAUUGGCACAUUUGAGGAGCUGGGGACGGAGCCUUGGACCUCAUGCAUGCUGGCCAAGUGUGAAGCUACCUGCCCAUCUUUUAGUGCUGCUGUCUUCUAUGGAGGCUGACGAAUUCCAGCGAUGAGACCCUGUAGUGAUCAGUAGCUCCGGAGUUGAUGAGUCUGGACUUUCUUCAUCCCUCAGGGACAAAGAACUUGUUUAUGGGAAUCUGGGGGAGGUGGGGGGGGUUGAGCUGCCUGGGAUGAUGGAUGGGCCUCCACCCCACCCCCAUCACAGCAGCUCUGGUAGUAUUCAUGGGAUGCCCGCAGCCUCAACCAGGACACAAUGGUGGGGAAUCAUCACCAGAGUUCCAUCUAGGACACACAGGCCAGGGGAAGCACCCCCCAUCUCGUGAGACCGAAUUCUGCCUCAGUAUCAUUCUGUCGUCAGUAAUGAGAAAUAUCAAGUCCGUUUUAAUCUAAAGCCGUGGUGGACGGAGCACUAGCAGAUUUCAAAAGCGCCUCUCUCUUCAGUCACGGAAUACAUGUGACAAAGAGAGCAGGACAGGACUACUGGGGGGGCAGCUGGAGGGGACAACAGGCACAGGGGAGGGCAAAGGAGGGGAUAAAUUUGAGUACAGUCUGAGGACACAUGUGUAAAAAUACCAGUAAAGUCUGUUGCUUUGUAUGUCAACU
This is a non-coding RNA of Cricetulus griseus (Chinese hamster), 1277 nucleotides long. NCBI's taxonomy places the organism in Eukaryota, Metazoa, Chordata, Mammalia, Rodentia, Cricetidae. The record is from RefSeq and is a predicted model, not a curated record.